This 372-nucleotide ribosomal RNA is filed under the name uncultured bacterium. RNAcentral describes it as "bacterial SSU rRNA". It matches the Rfam family "Bacterial small subunit ribosomal RNA", at positions 32 to 394 of the family's 1533-position model. The record is from RNAcentral.
AAUCAACGCUGGCGGCGUGCCUCAGACAUGCAAGUCGAACGAUUAAAGCUCUCUUCGGAGAGUGUAUAGAGUGGCGCACGGGUGAGUAACACGUAAGUAAUCUACCUUUGAGUGGGGAAUAACAAUCGGAAACGAUUGCUAAUACCGCAUAAUGCAGCGGCAUCGCAAGAUGACAGUUGUUAAAGGAGCAAUCCGCUUAAAGAGGAGCUUGCGGCAGAUUAGCUAGUUGGUGAGGUAAUGGCUUACCAAGGCUACGAUCUGUAACCGGUCUAAGAGGACGGUCGGUCACACUGACACUGAAUAACGGGUCAGACUCCUACGGGAGGCAGCAGUCGGGAAUUUUGGGCAAUGGGCGAAAGCCUGACCCAGCAA